GUUUAUGUGAACCUAUUUUUUUUUUGGUCCGUUCGUAAUAGAAUGACCUCUUUGUAAAUAUGAUAAUAAUUUAGCUUAAACUUACAAUUCUAAACUUAAUGCAAAACUUUAAUUACCACACAAAUACUCUGGAAUGCCAUCUGUGUCCAGUUUUACCUAUCCUAGAUCAGGUUUGCACCAUUUUAGAGUAUUGCUUGUACAUCAAUGUGAGAAUUUCUCCAAGGAAUGCUUAGUUUAUAUUCUAGAAAUUUCUUUCCAAUGCUGAUGUGAAAGGAUUUCAAAUUUUGCUUUUUAGUCUCGAAGUUGAUGGUUUCUCUUUGCUGAAUCGGCUGCAGCAGCGGGCUUAUUUUUCUAAUUUUGUUCUUUUAUUUAUUUUCCUCAAGAAGAUAGUUCAGUAUGAGUUCCUUUCACAUAAAUUUCAUGUUGCCACUAUCAAGAAUGAUUCUAGGAGUAAAGCCAGUUCUACAAUCAACUUUUUUGUAGUUGUAGCUAGGAAAAAAUGUUUAAUAAAGGGAUUGUACUCACCUUCUUGCGAUGGAGGAGACAAACCAUCAGCUUGAGUGAAUCUUUUAAAACACUUUUUUGUUGUUUGCAUGUACCACUUUGUAACAUUUGAUCUUGAUGUGUUUUUCGAAACCCUUUAAUUUUAUCCACUAUCAAAUCCUUGGCUUUCUGUAAUCCUUUCAUUUAAAGAAUGUGGAUUCUUUUCUGCACUGCUGAUGAGGUACACAAAUGAGGAUGAACAAAGUAGAAGGUUUCAGACGCAUACUUUUAACUCCUCAUUGCUACAUCUGAAGACUAUCAAGAUCAGCUUUUAUGGACCACUAAGUGAAAAUAGGUCUAUACAGCCAUUGGUGAAGUAUUUGCUCAAGCAUGCAAUCGUGCUAGAAACUGUAAAGAAUAGAAAAAAGGGUAUUAUUCGGAGACCUUCUGCUGGCCCAAGAUCAUUAGAUAAUAUUGGAGGAUUCAACUAAAGAAGAUGAAGCUUGAAGAGAGAAGAAAUGUUUUGUAAAGGAGAACUUUGUUUAGGAAGGAAGGC
RNAcentral lists this long non-coding RNA (1039 nucleotides) under Nicotiana benthamiana. RNAcentral's name for it is "long non-coding RNA (NBEN_LNC023834)". The record is from RNAcentral. Lineage: Eukaryota; Viridiplantae; Streptophyta; Magnoliopsida; Solanales; Solanaceae.